ACGAAUCAGUAACUACAUAAAUUCGAUUAAUAGCCAGAUAAUUAUAGGAUACGCUCCCGUAUAAUUAAAAAUCUAAAUUUUUAUUUGAAAAUCGGGCCGCACCUCCUUUAUUUAUCGGACUACCAGUCGAUAUCAUAUAUCGACACCAACAACCACAAUCAAGCCUGUAAUCAAUCCAAAUAACUUACUUUAUAACUACUAUCCGAAAUCGAUACUCAAUUAUAGCUACUAAUUAAACCCGAUAAUCAAUCAAAUAAACCAACAACCGAAAUAAUAAUUAAAAGCGUAUCAGGAAAUCCAUAUCAAGACUCGAGCCACCCGAAUAAAUUUUAUAGCUACACAUAAUCAGCACCCGGCCACUCCGGCCCCACACACACACUAAAACACAUGGGAAACACACACGAAACCCACACACACACAUCCCAGUACUCGAUUAUGCACGCACACACCCCUGAUACACUCACCCCAGCCCUGAUUACACACACUCGCGCAAUACAGAACACACACUCACACACCUGUUAUACACACACAAGCACAUAGACAUACACAAAACACACACACACCCAUCGCACUUAUACACACACACCAGUACACGCACGAAUUACACACACAAUAUAAUCACAGCCGCAAGAAAGGACAGAAAACGACGCAGGAAAAGGAAAAGGAAGGACAGGGGAGAGAGAUGGAGAGAAACCGAAGGGAGAGAGAGGCUGUUACCUUCCAGAUAAACUGAGCUCAUGGAGCGAAUAGAGUAAAGAAAACUAAGAGAGAGACAUUCAUUAUGUAAAAAUGUAUAUUACAACUGGUGAGAAUGAGUAGUAGCUGUACAAAUGUAUUUAUAGACAACAGAGUCAACACUUUGACUCUAACAGAAAACAGUUAUGAAACUUAAGGGACUGUUUGGCUAUAAGCUAUUCUCAAGUUGUGCUUUAGUUCAGGCUUGACAGCUAAUAUGUCAUUAGAGGCUGAGAUUGUGGUGAACGGCGGCGACUGGAACGGUGGCCGGAGAGAGGGAGAUGCGGGGAGAGUGCGAGCCGGAGAGAGACUGGAGUGAAGGAGAGAGACGAGUUGAGGGAUAGAUUCAG
RNAcentral lists this long non-coding RNA (1085 nucleotides) under Daucus carota (carrot). RNAcentral's name for it is "long non-coding RNA (DCAR_LNC007730)". Lineage: Eukaryota; Viridiplantae; Streptophyta; Magnoliopsida; Apiales; Apiaceae. The record is from RNAcentral.